Molecule: ribosomal RNA, 313 nt
Filed under: uncultured Phaeosphaeria
Lineage: Eukaryota; Fungi; Ascomycota; Dothideomycetes; Pleosporales; Phaeosphaeriaceae
Description: partial large subunit ribosomal RNA
Rfam family: Eukaryotic large subunit ribosomal RNA
Source: RNAcentral
AUAUCAAUAAGCGGAGGAAAAGAAACUAACAAGGAUUCCCCUAGUAACGGCGAGUGAAGCGGCAACAGCUCAAAUUUGAAAUCUGGCUCUUUUAGGGUCCGAGUUGUAAUUUGUAGAGGGUGCUUCGGCGUUGGCCCCGGCCUAAGUUCCUUGGAAUAGGAUGUCACAGAGGGUGAGAACCCCGUACGUGGCUGCUGGUCUUCGCCAUGUGAAGCCCCUUCGACGAGUCGAGUUGUUUGGGAAUGCAGCUCUAAAUGGGAGGUAAAUUUCUUCUAAAGCUAAAUAUUGGCCAGAGACCGAUAGCGCACAAGUA